This 586-nucleotide long non-coding RNA is filed under the name Ananas comosus (pineapple). RNAcentral's name for it is "long non-coding RNA (ACOM_LNC012701)". Lineage: Eukaryota; Viridiplantae; Streptophyta; Magnoliopsida; Poales; Bromeliaceae. The record is from RNAcentral.
UUAAAUUAAAUUUUAAAAUUUUAAAUUUUAAAAUUUAAAAUUUGCAAUUUUAAAAUUAAAAUUUAUAAUUCCAAAUUUUAAAGUUUAAAUUUUAAAUUUGAUAUUUUAAAUUUUUAAAUUUUUAAAUUUUAAAUUUUAUAUUUUAUAUUUUUUAAAUUUAAAUUUGGUCUUAAAUUUAAAAUUUAAAUUUUUUAAAUUAAAGAUUUGAAAAUUUAAAUUUGGAUUUUUAAUUUUAAAUUUUAAAAUUUAAACGUUAGACAUUUAAAUUUAAAAUUAUAAAUGCAAAAUUUAAAAAUUUAAAAUUUAAAUAUAAUGAGAUGAGUAAUAUUAUUAUUUUCAAUUUAUAACUACCCACUAUUCCUUUUAUUCCAUCUUAUUUAUCCAAACGCUAUUUUUCUUAUUUCCGAAAACAACCAAAUUUUCAUCAAAAUACAAAAAUUAGUUUAGUUCUCGCUUAUACCUAAACUUGUACCUAUCCCUGGUAUAAGCUAGUUCUUACUUAUAUCCGAAACAAACGAAGCCUUAUUGUUCUAGUUUAUUUUGUUAUCAAUUACCAUAAGAUCUUGUUCAAUUUUUGCUCAAAUAC